GAAUGAAAACGUCAACCACUUUCCCGUACCGAUCAAAGAGUGGGAAGAGAUCAUCCGCCGUGGUUCCUAGCGAUCCAAGAAUGGACACGUCAGUAGUAGAUAUAGAUCAAAAGCAGAGAGAUGGCGAGGGAAUUAAAUGGGAGGUGCUUACGGAAGCUGAUGUUGAGAACGAGAAGGGAGUAGGUGUCCUUGAUGUCCGGCGGUCCCGAUCUCCCGAAGUGCGACAUGGCCGUCGACGACGAGAGAAAGAUCUGGAGUCUAGGGAUAGGGUUUCC
Molecule: long non-coding RNA, 275 nt
Filed under: Musa acuminata (dwarf banana)
Lineage: Eukaryota; Viridiplantae; Streptophyta; Magnoliopsida; Zingiberales; Musaceae
Description: long non-coding RNA (MACU_LNC002400)
Source: RNAcentral